Molecule: non-coding RNA, 325 nt
Filed under: Brugia pahangi
Lineage: Eukaryota; Metazoa; Nematoda; Chromadorea; Rhabditida; Onchocercidae
Description: Eukaryotic large subunit ribosomal RNA
Rfam family: Eukaryotic large subunit ribosomal RNA
Source: Rfam by way of RNAcentral
CCAGCAUAUACGCAAGUUAUUGGGUAGUAAACCUAAUUUAAAAGAUAAAAAGCAUAAUGAAAGUAAAGAUUAUCUUUGGUAUAAUGAUGUGAUCCAUAUAUAUAUUUGUAUUGUAUAUGUAAAGUAUAUUACGUGGUGUAACACAACCCCAUUCCUGUUGCUUGCAGUAGGGCGGAGGUAGAGCAUUAUAUUCUGGGACUCGAAAGUGAACUAUACCUAAGUAGGAUGAAGCCAGAGGAAACUCUGGUGAAGUCCGAAGCGAUUCUGACGUGUAAAUCGAUCGUCUGACUUUGAUAUUUGGGCGACAAAUCGAACUAUCAUCUAG